AUUGAACGCUGGCGGCAGGCUUAACACAUGCAAGUCGAGCGGGGUGAUGGUGCUUGCACUAUCACUUAGCGGCGGACGGGUGAGUAAUGCUUAGGAAUCUGCCUAUUAGUGGGGGACAACAUCUCGAAAGGGAUGCUAAUACCGCAUACGUCCUACGGGAGAAAGCAGGGGAUCACUUGUGACCUUGCGCUAAUAGAUGAGCCUAAGUCGGAUUAGCUAGUUGGUGGGGUAAAGGCCUACCAAGGCGACGAUCUGUAGCGGGUCUGAGAGGAUGAUCCGCCACACUGGGACUGAGACACGGCCCAGACUCCUACGGGAGGCAGCAGUGGGGAAUAUUGGAAAAUGGGGGGAACCCUGAUCCAGCCAUGCGGCGUGUGUGAAGAAGGCCUUAUGGUUGUAAAGCACUUUAAGCGAGGAGGAGGCUCUUUUGGUUAAUACCCAAGAUGAGUGGACGUUACUCGCAGAAUAAGCACCGGCUAACUCUGUGCCAGCAGCCGCCGUAA
RNAcentral lists this ribosomal RNA (503 nucleotides) under uncultured bacterium. Its description in RNAcentral is "partial 16S ribosomal RNA". It matches the Rfam family "Bacterial small subunit ribosomal RNA", at positions 30 to 523 of the family's 1533-position model. The record is from RNAcentral.